Molecule: long non-coding RNA, 558 nt
Filed under: Hordeum vulgare
Lineage: Eukaryota; Viridiplantae; Streptophyta; Magnoliopsida; Poales; Poaceae
Description: long non-coding RNA (HVUL_LNC015696)
Source: RNAcentral
CUGUGGGUCCAAAAUUACCUUUAUAUAUAUAUAUAUAUAUAUAUAUAUAUAUAUAGCUGUGUAAUGUCUCCAUUGUAUAAGUAGUUUUCUGUAUAUUUACCACAAAUGUACGUGUAUAUAUAUUGGCCUAAGGCCGCAUGCAAAUACAAGUUGCAUAUUACCUUAAUAUUUGUUAACCUUUUUGUUCGCCAGUUUGACUGGAAGUCUGACAUAUGAAAAACCAGGUGAGUGAGAUUAACUGGUUAUUAAGUUGAGCAAUUACAGGUGGGUUACUGUUCUCCAGUUCUUUCUGGUUAACCAAAUGUUGUUCUCUGUAUUAUUAACGCUAGUCCAGUCCAAGAUUGGGCCACACCUAAAUCUACAAACAGCUUGGGAACUCAUCGAAUCGACAUACAGCAAUUUCUUUAUUCAAAAGGCUCAUGAUGUUGGGUUGUGCACCGUCCAAGGUAACCGCUUUGCUCAGCUUCGAGAACCUUUUCUUAUGAAAAACAAAUGAAAUUUGAAGGUACCAAUAAAAAUAACAAUCAAGACACACACUCAGACUCAGGGCCGGCCCUG